GUGGCUGUAGCUCAGUGGUAGAGCACUUGCCUAGCAUGUGUGAGGCACUGGGUUCAAUCCUCAGCACCACA
RNAcentral lists this transfer RNA (71 nucleotides) under Marmota marmota marmota (Alpine marmot). It matches the Rfam family "tRNA". From Rfam's summary of the family: Transfer RNA (tRNA) molecules are approximately 80 nucleotides in length. Their secondary structure includes four short double-helical elements and three loops (D, anti-codon, and T loops). RNAcentral also lists the same sequence under 3 other names. Lineage: Eukaryota; Metazoa; Chordata; Mammalia; Rodentia; Sciuridae. The record is from Rfam by way of RNAcentral.